This is a long non-coding RNA of Ictalurus punctatus (channel catfish), 1487 nucleotides long. RefSeq lists it as uncharacterized. NCBI's taxonomy places the organism in Eukaryota, Metazoa, Chordata, Actinopteri, Siluriformes, Ictaluridae. The record is from RefSeq and is a predicted model, not a curated record. The transcript has 7 exons.
GAUCAACAAAAAAUCCUCCAGUAUGUUUAUCCCUGAAAAGAAAAUGAAACAGAACACACGCACGCUGCUUGUAUAAUAGAAAACAGUUGACCUGUAUUAAAUGACUCAAUGUUUUUAAGUCUGUUUUUACAUCUGUUACGCUUCCGCCGGUGGAUGGCGCUGCGGCGUCGAAGCACAAAGACUGCUGCAGAGCGCGCGUGCACGAGACUCUGACAGAUGGACACGCGCGGCUCGUUUGUUUUGAUUUACUUCCUGUCCAGGUAUUGGCUUAUGUUUGAGGGACCUCGCACUCACCAGGCAGUACUGGCCAUUCUCUUCUACGGAAAGUAGCUAAGAUAUAUUUCUGCCACCUGUAAGUCAGAAUGACAAAAUUCUUGACAGUGAUAUCACUCAGUCCAACGGAUCUGACGCACUGAAGGCUGGACAUUGGCAGAUAUCAUCUAUGAUGAAAAAGCCUCCCUUGCGAGACGAGAAUCUUCACCAUCUGAAUCAUGAGUGCCGGUGCCCGUCGUCAGUCCCUUCUCUCUCCGUUACUGGACCUGGAUCUGGAUCUCGAUCUGGACACUCAUUACCAGCUUGUGCAUCUCACUGCUGAUAUCAUGAUGCUACUUAACUAUCUUCGCAGCACCCGCUCUAGGAAUGGAGAUCCGGGGUUCCCCCCUCUUCUUCGAUACAGAAUCUGCCUACAGCAUCUACAGCAAUCUACAGCAAAUAUGCUGUCCGAAAGAACCCGUUAACAUCAAGGGCAACAAGUGCUGAGAUUGUGACGGUGAUGAAAAGGUGGCUGCAGCUGGCUUCAGACCGUGGAGGAGGAUGGAAGAGGUGCAACAAACAGUAGCUUGCCCUGACUAGGAACGCAUAAACCAUUGAAAUCAACGAGGAAAAAAUUCAGCUAAUUGACGCUCUCUCCCUGGGCAAAGCCUGCGAACUUCGCCCGGAGCUCAGUCCAUGUACUUUCGGAAAUUUCGGUUGUGUGGUAUCGCCAUGAGUGAUGCUACUGUACUUUUGACAAGGGGAAUUCAGUUCAAACAUUUUAAUGAAAUAUUUGCACACACACACACACACACACACACACACAGGGCCAUUAGCCAAAAACAACCGGCCUAUGUAGCACCUAUGCCCGCAGCGGACUCUAGCGCAGACUGGGCGGAGUGCGCCUCGCUGACCGACAGCUCCACGACUCAGCUAAUUGCUGUAGCACAUCGUCUUGGUCACGAGCAUGCGUUGUUCGUCUUUUGCGUUCGCACUGUGAACAGGAGACAUUUCUCUAUCACUUUAACGUUUAACACAUUGGAAUGAAUUUGUUAAAAAACAUUUUAAUCAUGCUUACGUAGGUUGCUAGAGCUGUGCGGAUGUCCGACACAGUGAUGUCUCUUCCCACGAGUGCCCGCAGGGCAAGCUUGACAUGCGCAGAAAUCCUGGCCUGUGUGCCAGAAAAGAAAAGCCACCCCACAGAAGUCUCAUAUCCCGGCAUAUGCUUCCUCAGG